This 273-nucleotide ribosomal RNA is filed under the name uncultured bacterium. RNAcentral describes it as "partial 16S ribosomal RNA". It matches the Rfam family "Bacterial small subunit ribosomal RNA", at positions 524 to 796 of the family's 1533-position model. The record is from RNAcentral.
GACAGAGGGUGCAAGCGUUGUUCGGAAUUAUUGGGCGUAAAGGGCGCGUAGGUGGCCGCAUAAGUCGGAUGUGAAAGCCCAGGGCUUAACCCUGGAAGUGCAUCCGAUACUGUGUGGCUUGAGUCCCGGAGAGGGUCGUGGAAUUCCCAGUGUAGAGGUGAAAUUCGUAGAUAUUGGGAGGAACACCAGUGGCGAAGGCGGCGACCUGGACGAGGACUGACACUGAGGCGCGAAAGCGUGGGGAGCAAACAGGAUUAGAAACCCGCGUAGUCC